RNAcentral lists this long non-coding RNA (935 nucleotides) under Nicotiana benthamiana. RNAcentral's name for it is "long non-coding RNA (NBEN_LNC009188)". The record is from RNAcentral. Lineage: Eukaryota; Viridiplantae; Streptophyta; Magnoliopsida; Solanales; Solanaceae.
GUGUUUUGGGCUAUGCCUUGGAUAGUUUUUUCUUAACUACAGUGAGUUGUUUCAUCAGCUGAUGGAUGAUUCUAUUAUUUUUGCUCCUUGCUAAUCCCUCUUUGCUGAUGUCAAAAAUGGGGAGAAAGAAAUAUAUCUAUGCUUUACGCUAUUAUGUGCAGGUAGGUCGACUAUGAUAUACAUACAUAGAUUGUAUUAUAUAUAUACUAUACAGGUACAAGUCAAGUCAGCUAUGCUACACAUGCAUAGACGGUAUUCUAUAUAAACUGUACAGGUACAAGUCGACUGCACACUAUGAGGGGGAUAUCAAGUCAAGUCAAGUUUAUUGCACAUAUUGAGGGGGAGCAAAGUCGACUAGUAACACACAGGGAAGUCAACUGUUAUUUACUUCUUCACAUAUAAGUAUAUUAUUCUGCCAUCAUAAAAAAGGGGGAGAUUGUUAGAUCAUGUUUUAACGAUGCAAUUACUAUAUAUGUGCAGGAAUCAAAAGAAGUCAAGAAGAGCUACUGGAAUGGACUGUGUCAAACAAGGGAAGAGCUUACUUACAAAGGAAGCCGCCAGAAUAACUCGUGAUGUACAAGGAAAGCUAUAAAAUUGCAUCAGCAAAUCGGGAUUAGGUCCAUAAAAUUGGGAAAUCAAAUCACCAGUAUCAAUAAAUAACGGAGCGGGAAUAAUCAAGGGAACAAGGAGAUUAGUGAUUAGAGAAAUCACGGAAUAAUAAAAGAUGCCAGAAGAUCUAGGCAGUGACCGUGUUUGGAAGGUCCAACAAUCAAGAGAAAUCUCGUUAAAUCAAUCGUCUGCCAAAGUAAAAGAUAUCAAGAGAUUCAAUGACUAUCUCCUUAUUCAUGGAAAGAAUCAAUUCUUUCCAAGGAUCAAAACCCUUGAGUUGACAAGCCUUCACUGUACAUCAUAGAUAUAUUCCUCUUGUAAUAUCC